GGUCGGGUGGUGGAGCAGGGCGACCACGCGGCGCUCGUGGCGCGGCCGGAGGGCGUCUACCGUCGGCUGUUCGAGCGGCAGUCGUCGGAUCUC
RNAcentral lists this transfer RNA (93 nucleotides) under Methylopila capsulata. Its description in RNAcentral is "tRNA-Thr". Lineage: Bacteria; Pseudomonadati; Pseudomonadota; Alphaproteobacteria; Hyphomicrobiales; Methylopilaceae. The record is from RNAcentral.